CAUGUCCGUGUCUGUUUUAAAGAUCGCUCUGAAUGGGAUCUCUAUGAAAAGUCUGUCACAAAAAUUGAAUUAUCUCUGCUUUUUGCUCAAAAUGUGGUGUUUUUGCAGAAACCUACCCAUAUUCAAAAGCUGAUUACAAAAGAACCACUGAAGGUAGAAUGAAACGUUUUAUUUUGUUUGAAAGCAGAGGGUCUGUUCUUUCAUUUGGUAUAUUGUAUGUUUAUAUAUUUAAAGAGCACCUAUUAUGGGAUACACGUUUUUAAACAUCCUUUUGUGUGUAAGUGUGCAUUAGUACAUGCUAACGAUAUUCAAAAAGUACAUACCUCAAAGAAAACGAUGACGCGAGUUAUCGUCUCUAACGUUCGAGGACUACAAAAAACACUCGGAUUGUAGGCAACAGUUUACUUCCUGGGAUUGGUGACGUAGAUAAGACCAACAUUAUCAUAGUUCAGCCCUCUCUGCUUUGCUUGGGUACGCCCUCAAAGACGGGGGUGGGGAGCGCCGAGUCAGAAGAGAGCUAAAAUGGCGGAGGUUGGGAGUCCCUGCAUUGACUCUGUUUGCAAACUCUUGUUUCAUCGUUUAAGCGAUUAAAUCUCUCGAGUAGACGCUGUCUCUUUAGAUGCGAGGGCAAAAUAGCACUUUAUAGACUUACACAGAGGACAUCAUGUUUAAUACGGUUCCGGAAAAAUCCAGUCAGAAGUUGUUCACGGAGUUUUCACAUUAACUGCUUCUCAUGAACCGAAGCUGGACGUCUCCUCCUGAAAGUUGGAUUACUGUGCACUUCUGGAUCACAGGCUAUUCGCAGCUGGACACAUCCUUCUACACUGUAUGCAAACAUGCAACAUCAUAACACACAGUACAAGGAGUCAGACUGGCAUAUGAGGAGCAAAGGAACCCACGCAGUAGCAUCGUUUCACAAUGUUUCCAUCACCAUCAUCAGUGGAUGCCUUUGCCGUCCGUAGCCUGAGAUUUCAGAUUUGUAGCAAAAAAAUUUGAUUUUCUCAUUUAUUGGAAUGCUAUGCAGGUUGUACCUUGCAGCCAUCCAUUACAAUGUCACCAAGCCGUAACAAAAGCAGGAGAGGGAAAGUACAAGGCUAUGUUCCCAAAACACAAAUGACAUACCUUAUGUGGAGGAUGUGAUCAGGCUUGUGUUUGCUGAGGUAUUUGAAGAUAAGCUGAAGGAAACCCCGAUUCCAAUGGACCUGGCAUCACAGUUUGAGAGACCUUCAAAGGAGGACGUGAUUGCAUGCCAUCUUCAGUGCAGGGGUCGUCGGAAGCCAACAUUCCGAUCAGGAAGCUCCAAGCAUAUCUGGAGAACAACACACGACAGGAUGAUAACCCUAAAGUGUCAUCUUAGAUAGCAUCAGCUGACAAAGCUUUGAUAUGCCAUUUAUCUGAAUAGAUAGCUGUAAGAAGUGAAUUGAACAAUUUUUGAAAGAAGAGCACAAUAUGGUUACUAAAGUAUGUUUAUUUGUAUAUUGUUUAACAUUUAAAUAUAUAUUUGUAAUAAAUAAACUUUUGACUGACUACUAUA
Paramisgurnus dabryanus is the source of this 1534-nucleotide long non-coding RNA. RefSeq lists it as uncharacterized. Lineage: Eukaryota; Metazoa; Chordata; Actinopteri; Cypriniformes; Cobitidae. The record is from RefSeq and is a predicted model, not a curated record.